Molecule: ribosomal RNA, 127 nt
Organism: Fukomys damarensis (Damara mole-rat)
Lineage: Eukaryota; Metazoa; Chordata; Mammalia; Rodentia; Bathyergidae
Source: Ensembl
GUCUAUGGCCAUACCACCCCGAACAUGCCCAAUCUCAUCUGAUCUCGGAAGCUAAGCAGGGUCAGGCUUGGUUAGUACUUGGAUGGGAGAUAAGUUUCUUUGUCAACAGUGAAUCCACGUAGAGAGC